GGGGGGGGGGGGGGGGGGGCGGGGCGCGGGGAGGUCGGGCGGGGCGGUCGGGCCUGGGGGCGCACGGGUGGGUAACGGGUGGGCACCCGCCCUUGGGUUGGGGAUACUGCCCCGGAGGGGGGGCUAAUAGCGGAUAAUGGCUGCGGCCCAAAGGCUUAUCGCCUUUGGCUGGGGGCGCGUUGGAUUAGCUAGUUGGUCAGGUAAAAGCCUACCAAGGCGACGAUCCCUAGCUGGUCUGAGAGGAUGAUCAGCCACACUGGGACUGAGACACGGCCCAGAAUCCUACGGGAGGCAGCAGUGGGGAAUAUUGGACAAUGGGCGAAAGCCUGAUCCAGCAAUGCCGCGUGAGUGAUGAAGGCCUUAGGGUUGUAAAGCUCUUUUACCCGGGAUGAUAAUGACAGUACCGGGAGAAUAAGCUCCGGCUAACUCCGUG
This 433-nucleotide ribosomal RNA is filed under the name uncultured bacterium. Its description in RNAcentral is "partial 16S ribosomal RNA". It matches the Rfam family "Bacterial small subunit ribosomal RNA", at positions 38 to 507 of the family's 1533-position model. The record is from RNAcentral.